AUGACUAUCAGGUUCCUCCGCCAAGUGGCCUUUUAUUUUCUGGAGGCAGGCCUUAAGGAAGCUGAAAUCUACCAGACCCCAAGACACCGUGUUAUAGGGGCAGGAAAGAAGAUCACUCUGGAAUGUUCUCAAACCAUGGGCCAUGACAAAAUGUACUGGUCAAGAUCCAGGAAUGGAAUUACACCUCAUCCACCAUUCCUAUGGGUUAAUUCCACAGAGAAGGGAGAUCUUUGCUCUGAGUCAACAGUCUCCAGAAUAAGGAUAGAGCGUUUUCCCCUGACCCUGGAGUCUGCCAGCCCCUCACAUACCUCUCAGUACCUCUGUGCCAGCAGUGAAUA
Molecule: non-coding RNA, 338 nt
Organism: Homo sapiens (human)
Lineage: Eukaryota; Metazoa; Chordata; Mammalia; Primates; Hominidae
Source: the annotation of a RefSeq genome assembly